GCUGGGCGUGGUGGCGCGUGCCUGUAAUCCCAGCUACUCAGGAGGCUGAGGUGGGAGAAUCCCUUGAACCCGGGAGGCGGGGGUUGCAGUGAGCCAGGAUCACGCCACUGCACUCCAGCCUGGGCAACAGAGCGAGACUCUGCCUCGA
This 148-nucleotide small RNA is filed under the name Macaca mulatta (Rhesus monkey). RNAcentral's name for it is "Metazoan signal recognition particle RNA (ENSMMUG00000055072.1)". Lineage: Eukaryota; Metazoa; Chordata; Mammalia; Primates; Cercopithecidae. The record is from Rfam by way of RNAcentral. RNAcentral also lists the same sequence under 1 other name.